UCAGUGCACUACAGAACUUUCU
RNAcentral lists this non-coding RNA (22 nucleotides) under Xenopus tropicalis (tropical clawed frog). RNAcentral also lists the same sequence under 2 other names. The record is from RNAcentral. Lineage: Eukaryota; Metazoa; Chordata; Amphibia; Anura; Pipidae.